CUUGCUCCCGGGUCGUUGUAUGUGCCGCUAGCAUCCGAGCACAGUGCUGAAGGCCGACGGUGGUGGUGGUGGUUCUCCUGGGUGGUGGUGGUCCUGUGUGCUGUGUGAUCCCUUUUUAAGAUUUUCUUUGUUUACACGUCACCUUUUGCUGUGUGUGUGUGGGGUGUCCUCCUUUUCCUUUUGGAUGUCACUUCCCCUACCAAACCCCCUCUCCAGCCGGUAAGCCUCAGACUACAUCCCCCUUUUAGUUGGGCUCUUUUCUUUUUUUGUGUUACAGUGUCAACCUCAUGAUUGUUUUAAUAAUAAAUUGUUAGACAUGA
Solea solea (common sole) is the source of this 320-nucleotide long non-coding RNA. RefSeq lists it as uncharacterized. The transcript is spliced from 2 exons. Lineage: Eukaryota; Metazoa; Chordata; Actinopteri; Pleuronectiformes; Soleidae. The record is from RefSeq and is a predicted model, not a curated record.